ACCUACUUGAUUCAGCGGUUAGAGUAUCACUUUCAUGCUAAGAUAGUCAUUGGAUCAAAUCCAAUAGUAGGUA
Molecule: transfer RNA, 73 nt
Filed under: Capsicum annuum
Lineage: Eukaryota; Viridiplantae; Streptophyta; Magnoliopsida; Solanales; Solanaceae
Rfam family: tRNA
About the family: Transfer RNA (tRNA) molecules are approximately 80 nucleotides in length.
Source: Rfam by way of RNAcentral